UGAAAUGCAACUUAAACAUGUAUUAAUCAUACAUAUGACAUAGUGAACAUAAUUUUGCAUUUUUCCAAUUCUCUUAAACUUAUUCUUUAUAUAUAUACAUAUUCUUACCCCGGGCUCAUAAUACUUCAUGUCAUUCACAUGUGUUUGAUGUACAUACCUAUGCCUACUUGCACAUCUUAACUUACUUUCUCAUCUUUGACGUAUUCAUCAAGGUUACUCGUUGAACUUCCUUUAGAAUUACCCUUUGAACGCUCAGAAUACUAUCAGAUACAUCGGAAGCUUGCACCUAAGUGCAU
RNAcentral lists this long non-coding RNA (296 nucleotides) under Gossypium barbadense (sea-island cotton). RNAcentral describes it as "long non-coding RNA (GBAR_LNC006435)". The record is from RNAcentral. Lineage: Eukaryota; Viridiplantae; Streptophyta; Magnoliopsida; Malvales; Malvaceae.